ACACCCUCAAGCUCUGCUUGGUGUUGGGCGUCUGUCCCGCUUCGUGCGUGGACUCGCCCCAAAGUCAUUGGCAGCGGUCAUGCCAGCUUCUCGCGCAGCACAUUUGCGUUUGACGAAGUUUGGUAGAUCAGCGUCCAGGAAGCUCUUUUAUG
This 152-nucleotide unclassified non-coding RNA is filed under the name uncultured Dothideomycetes. RNAcentral's name for it is "sequence contains ITS2". The record is from RNAcentral. Lineage: Eukaryota; Fungi; Ascomycota; Dothideomycetes.